AUGGCAAAGCAAAAGAAGAAGCCUGCUCCCAAGGAUCCUGCACAGUUUCAGAAGCAGCUGAAAAUGAAGCUAUCUAAUGAAUGCAGAAAAUAUGAAAUUUAUCUGAACCGUCAGGAUAUGGAUGAUCUCAAGAAAAUAGCAGAUAAACUGGACGAGGGAUAUUUCUGUUCGGAAGCAGAUAAAACAGUGGAAUUGGAAUUCUAUUCACAAGUUGAGCAGGAUAUUCGGAAGACCAUGAGGAAAGUUUAUGCACGUUCAUCGAAUUGGUCUAAGACUGAAAAGUUAGUUAAGGAGCUUGAUGCUACACUGAAAAUACUUACCGGGGAUGAGCAGAAGAGCCUUUAUGUAGCUGACACGAAGAAACAGCAACAAUUUGUACUUGCACGUAGCUGGCUGGAGAGCAUGCAGCAGAAGCAAAGCAGUUGUAAAAGAUGUGAAGAUCCUGAGCCAGAAUGUGAUGAAGAAACGCAGUAUUGGAUUAAUACUCUCAAUACUGGAAUUAUCCUUGACAAAACAUUAGUAGAACUUGAAGUUGAGAGGUCUACGUUGGAUUUAUUUAAAGAUACAGACAUUGAGCAAGUUUUCUUCAAUCCUCGUACAGCUUCUUUAGCUAAUCUCAUAAAUUAUAUGAGGGAUCGCUUGUGUGAAAAUUCUCAACAUCAAAUAUUUGCAUCAGGAGAAGAUUCAUGCCAUCUACUUCCUUUUAAGACAGCCCCUCAUCAACCACCAAAGUGGAUGUUGGUUGAACUGAGAGAUCAAAGUGCAAAAUGUGGUGUCUACAUGAGAGGCGAUAAUCUGUAUAUCACUGCUUUUCGCAACCAAAAGAAUAUGAUAUAUGAGCUCGUAGAGUCUGAUAAUUUGCGAAUAAUUGAAGGUUCCUUUGUAUUUGGUUGCAAUGCUGAUUACCCUGCACUUGUAAAAUAUGAUAGAGAAGUUGAGGAUCUUCCAAAAGAAGAAGCUGAUAGGCGAUUACUGGAAAUUAUCUUCAAUCUGGAGGAAAAUGCAGCUGAUGUUCAUCUGUUGGCUAAUUAUGACCACACACAAAAGAUGGAUGAUGCUGAGCGACGUCAAGCCAUUGAAAAUGUGCAGAAGGCGCUAAUUCGGAAAAUGGUGGUUUUAUCUGAGGUCUCACGUUUUGUGAACCUUUUUAUAGCUGUGAAUGCAGAUUGGAAUAACAGCAUUGCAUCUCUGACAAAAUUGCUGUUAACAUUUAUGAGGCGAUGGGGUCCAAUGUCGAAGAAAGUCCGUAACAGUAACAGCUCUGAUGUGCUUCCUAAAAGCUUGCAGGAUAAUCUUGGCUUGAAAUUUGUGUCUGACCUAAUCAAGGUUAUGCAUCUUGUGCUUAAUACAAAGCAUCCUGAACUUAAUAAAAUAGGACGCAGUACACCUGCUGAACCUUCUGGUGGCAUCCCUGAAGCGUCUGGAUCAUCUUAUGGUGAUUGCAAAGAAGCUAAGAGCAAAGCUCGACCAUCUAAUGGCAACCCUGAUCCAUCUGGAUCUUCUGAUAGCAGCCUUGGGCAAUCUUGUGGCAGCCAUGCACCAUCCAGGCCAUCUGAUUGCGGCCUUGGACAAUCUUGGCUAUCUGACAGCAGCCCCGGACCAUCCGAUGGCAGUCCUGGACAACCUAGACUGUCUGAUGGCAGCCAUGCAGAUGGUAGCCCUGAACAAACUGGAGCAUCUGGCAUCUGCCCUGUACAAUCUGGUCUGUAUGUCUUCGCUGAUCCAUCUGGUCUGUAUGUCUUCCCUGAUCCAUCUGGAUCUUCUGAUAGCAGCCUUGGGCAAUUUGGUGGCAGCCAUGCAUCAUCCAGGCCAUCUGGUUGCAGCCUUCGACAAUCUUGGCUAUCUGACGUCAGCCCCGGACCAUCUGAUGGCAGUCCUGGACAACCUAGACCGUCUGAUGGCAGCCAUGCAGAUGGUAGCCCUGAACAAACUGGAGCAUCUGGCAUCUGCCCUGUACAAUCUGGUCUGUAUGUCUUCCCUGAACAAUCUGGGCUAUCUGCCGUCAGCUAUAUAUCAAGUGUGAUUAGCAGCGCAAUUGAAUCUCUCAGGAUGGCGAUCCUAUUUGCACGAUCUGGCAGCAUCCAUCCUUUGAGUCAUCAUCCACUUGGACCUGUGCGCAUACAUGCUCCUUUGGUUCCUCUACUUAGACCAUCUGAUGGUAGCCCUGAACAAACUGGAAAAUCUGGCAUCUGCCCUGUACAAUCUGGUCAUCCUUUGAGUCAUCAUCUACUUGGACCUGUGCGCGUACAUUCUCCUUUCGGUUCCUCCACUUAG
This 2274-nucleotide ribosomal RNA is filed under the name Triticum aestivum (bread wheat). Its description in RNAcentral is "partial small subunit ribosomal RNA". The record is from RNAcentral. Lineage: Eukaryota; Viridiplantae; Streptophyta; Magnoliopsida; Poales; Poaceae.